CAUUUGUUCAAUUUAUUAGGGAAUAAGAAGACAAAACCCACCUCUUCCCUUCACCCCUUUAUUCUUCAUGGUUUAUGAAGACCAAAUUCAAUUUUGCUUGUUCUUUUUACUUGUUUCUUAAUUUGGGCAAACCAAUCAAAGUUGAUUGACUAUGCUUAGCUCAAUCUAGAGCUUAUCUCACUCCUUCACGGCUAAGAAUUGAUGAUCCGAAGUCACAUUUUGCUUCCUUAUAAUUGGUUACCUAAUACUCAAGCUUAUCACUUUAACAAACUUCAUCUUAUGAUCCCUAUCUUUUAUUUCUUUCAAGUUCUUGGAAUAAUAAUACUCCAUAUAUAUUUAACGUAUUACCGUCCAUCACUACCACACGGCUAUCACCGCUCUUUCCUUUGCUUGAAAUGGUUGUGGUCAUCUCUUUCCCUUGCCACCAAGCUCACGCACCGCAGCCACGUGUACUCUUCUCUUUCCUCCAUUCAUGGCAUGCUUGGUGAAACUAAGAAUGGUCUUUGAGACUACUCUGUACACAUGAAACCAAAGUGAGCUAAUUUUGUUGCUCUUAUUUUGAUUAUAAGUUUAUCCUUUAUCUGAGAUACAAACUUUUUACUUUCUUUGAAAACGAUUAUGUAGAUAUUUUGAUAAUAAGAAAAUGAUGUUAAAAUAUAGUAGUAGUUUGCUAUCUAAGUUCUAUGUUUGUUCUUAUUUUACUCUUAAAAGUGUAGUGUUUGUAUAUAUUCUAAUAUUAUUUUGCACAAGGAAUUGAUGAUUAUGUAAUUCGUAUAUUCAACUUCCUAAAAAUGAGUUUUAAUACCAAAGCAAUUUGAGAGUUCUCUAAAUUAAAGUUUUUAUAGUAAUAUUUUCUACUAAUAUGAAUAGUAGUACUAUCUAUUUUUAAAGUAAUGCUCAUUUUACUCAAAAUGAGGUACCACUUGUUUUGUUCUCUAAAAAUAAGUUUAUACUUUAUUUUAUCAAAGGUUUUGAAUUAAGAAGUUAUUAAUGAGUAUUUAUUAUUUUUGGGUAUGAUCGAAUAAAUCAUGACGAUGAGGAAUUAAUGACGGAGGUUGAGAGUUCGAAUGAUGAUUAUUGGAGAACAAGCUAAGUGAGAUGAUUAAGGAUGAUCAAAUGAGGAAUAAUGAUGACAGAGCUGAAAUUAAUCAAAAGCAAAGGGAUUAAAGGAAUUUAGUUAGUUUAGGGAUUAUGGAAUCAAGGCUUAUGUAUUAUGGAUCAUCGAGAGCUGAGAUAGAUUGAUUAUUUUAUCACAGUAAGGAAGACUGGAGUUGUAUUUUUUUUAUUGAAUAUUCUCGUUAAGGAGUAUGUUUAUUUGUAGGCCCAUAAUCCACAGGUGGCUACGAGAUUAUCUAUAUAUAAUUGAUUCCGCUUAGUAUGA
Chenopodium quinoa (quinoa) is the source of this 1381-nucleotide long non-coding RNA. RefSeq lists it as uncharacterized. The record is from RefSeq and is a predicted model, not a curated record. The transcript is spliced from 2 exons. Lineage: Eukaryota; Viridiplantae; Streptophyta; Magnoliopsida; Caryophyllales; Amaranthaceae.